CUUCAGCGAGCCCAGCCACACCGGCGCGCCCCGGUCCUGGCCGUACGUGGCGAGCACCGCACGGGCCUC
RNAcentral lists this antisense RNA (69 nucleotides) under Kutzneria sp. 744. RNAcentral's name for it is "ASpks TB sRNA". It matches the Rfam family "ASpks TB sRNA". Lineage: Bacteria; Bacillati; Actinomycetota; Actinomycetes; Pseudonocardiales; Pseudonocardiaceae. The record is from Rfam by way of RNAcentral.